RNAcentral lists this long non-coding RNA (221 nucleotides) under Elaeis guineensis (African oil palm). RNAcentral's name for it is "long non-coding RNA (EGUI_LNC073749)". Lineage: Eukaryota; Viridiplantae; Streptophyta; Magnoliopsida; Arecales; Arecaceae. The record is from RNAcentral.
CAUGCAAAGCCCUCCUCACGCCCUACUUUAAUGCACCAAAUGAGUGGAUAAGGAUGAUUGGUUGGCCAUUCAAAUUCAAAAUAAUGUUUGAAUUUGAAUGAGCAACCAAUCUUAGCGCCUUGACCUUAUCCUCUUUUAGCACCCCAUUUAUUACAUGAAAAAAUAUUUCUCAUGAAAUCACUCAUGCACAAAUUAAGCCAUGCCCUCCUCUUCUCACACCC